AUUGAACGCUGGCGGCAUGCCUUACACAUGCAAGUCGAACGGCAGCAUGGAGAGCUUGCUCUCUGAUGGCGAGUGGCGAACGGGUGAGUAAUGCACCGGAACGUACCGUGUAAUGGGGGAUAACGUAGCGAAAGUUACGCUAAUACCGCAUACGACCUGAGGGUGAAAGCAGGGGAUCGCAAGACCUUGCGUUAUACGAGCGGCCGAUGUCAGAUUAGCUAGUUGGUGAGGUAAAGGCUCACCAAGGCGACGAUCUGUAGCGGGUCUGAGAGGAUGAGCCGCCACAAUGGGACUGAGACACGGCCCAGACUCCUCCGGGAGGCAGCAGUGGGGAAUUUUGGACAAUGGGGGCAACCCUGAUCCAGCCAUGCCGCGUGAGUGAAGAAGGCCUUCGGGUUGUAAAGCUCUUUCGGCCGGGAAGAAAUCGCACAGGCUAAUACUCUGUGUGGAUGACGGUACCGGCAUAAGAAGCACCGGCUAACUACGUGCCAGCCGCCGCAGUAA
Molecule: ribosomal RNA, 504 nt
Filed under: uncultured bacterium
Lineage: Bacteria
Description: partial 16S ribosomal RNA
Rfam family: Bacterial small subunit ribosomal RNA
Source: RNAcentral